Molecule: small nuclear RNA, 334 nt
Filed under: Jaculus jaculus (lesser Egyptian jerboa)
Lineage: Eukaryota; Metazoa; Chordata; Mammalia; Rodentia; Dipodidae
Description: 7SK RNA (ENSJJAG00000007293.1)
Rfam family: 7SK RNA
About the family: 7SK was discovered as an abundant small nuclear RNA in the mid-70s but a possible function has only recently been suggested. Two independent studies have found that 7SK RNA binds the CDK9/cyclin T complex (known as elongation factor P-TEFb).
Source: Rfam by way of RNAcentral
AGAUGGAGGGUGUUCUAGCUAUGACAUCAGUCACCAUACUGAUCAUCAGUGUUGGGUUGAUUCUGCUAAGCUGGCUGGCUAGGUGGGUGUCCCCUCCCUCCCUCAGCGCUCCCUGUGUACCCCUCCUGGAGCGCACACUCCAUCAAAGAAGAUGGCUUUCCUGGGAAGGGGAGGAGGAGGACCAGGCCUUGUCCAGUGCUAUACAAGGAGCUAUGCUUCCCUGCUGGAACCUCCAGUCAGCCGUCUAUAAAGUGUGUGGGUACAUGUCUGCUCAGGGCUCAUGAAAGGAGCUAUGAUCAUGGACAUUAGGUCAGAAAUAUGUGGUUUUGUCCUU